This 537-nucleotide ribosomal RNA is filed under the name uncultured bacterium. Its description in RNAcentral is "partial 16S ribosomal RNA". It matches the Rfam family "Bacterial small subunit ribosomal RNA", at positions 355 to 902 of the family's 1533-position model. The record is from RNAcentral.
UGGGGAAUAUUGCACAAUGGGCGCAAGCUUGAUGCAGCAACGCCGCGUGAGGGAUGACGGCCUUCGGGUUGUAAACCUCUUUUAGCAGGGAAGAAGCGAAAGUGACGGUACCUGCAGAAAAAGCACCGGCUAACUACGUGCCAGCAGCCGCGGUAAUACGUAGGGUGCAAGCGUUGUCCGGAAUUAUUGGGCGUAAAGAGCUCGUAGGCGGUCUGUCGCGUCUGCUGUGAAAUCCCGAGGCUCAACCUCGGGCCUGCAGUGGGUACGGGCAGACUAGAGUGCGGUAGGGGAGAAUGGAACUCCUGGUGUAGCGGUGGAAUGCGCAGAUAUCAGGAAGAACACCGAUGGCGAAGGCAGUUCUCUGGGCCGUAACUGACGCUGGGGAGCGAAAGCGUGGGGAGCGAACAGGAUUAGAUACCCUGGUAGUCCACGCCGUAAACGUUGGGCGCUAGAUGUGGGGACCAUUCCACGGUUUCCGUGUCGCAGCUAACGCAUUAAGCGCCCCGCCUGGGGAGUACGGCCGCAAGGCUAAAACUU